CUGCUUGACAAUCCAAAUUCAGAUGCUAUUGUGUCGACUUUAACGGCUUGUUUCUUGUUGCUUUUUGCGAUUUAUAACGAUAUUUGUGUGUAUUUUAAGACUUUGUGCCCACAACGAAAGCGGUAAACGAGUAUAUUAUAAAAGCGACCGGUUUUUCUCCCGUUUUUGUGUGGAAAAAAUGACAACGUAGCGAUGGUGUUUAUCCAGAAGCGAAAAACAGUAUUUUACUGAGAUUUUAUUUAUUUAUUUAUUUAGCUUCGCCAACUAGGGCAGGGUCACCACAACAGCAUAUGCCAAUUACUGUGAGCCCUUUUUACCUAACCCACCCUGUCAACUUUCCCUGUGGGAGGAAACCGGAGUACCCGGGGAAAACCCACGGCUUUCGGCAGAGCGUUGACUUUUACUCUUUUUACAUGGGGACUGGGUUCGAGUCGCAUUGAGAAGGUACUUAGUGAGACUCGAACCUGCAGCCUCAGAGGUGAAAGGCAAGUGCGCUAACCACUUGGCCACCGAAGCCCCUUACAAUUAUUUUAACGUCAAUAUAAAGGUUUAUUCCGUGAAGAAUCAAGACAACCAUGGAAUGGAAGUAUAAUUUUUCGAAUUUGAC
Non-coding RNA from Paramuricea clavata, 607 nucleotides. The record is from the annotation of a GenBank genome assembly. Lineage: Eukaryota; Metazoa; Cnidaria; Anthozoa; Malacalcyonacea; Plexauridae.